GACGAACGCUGGCGGCGUGCUUAACACAUGCAAGUCGAACGGUGAACUCCGCUUGCGGGGGGAUCAGUGGCGAACGGGUGAGUAACACGUGGGCAACCUGCCCUCAGCUCUGGGAUAACUCCAAGAAAUUGGGGCUAAUACCGGAUAUGACCGCUGACCGCAUGGUCUGGUGGUGGAAAGAUUUAUCGGCUGGGGAUGGGCCCGCGGCCUAUCAGCUUGUUGGUGGGGUAGUGGCCUACCAAGGCGACGACGGGUAGCCGGCCUGAGAGGGUGACCGGCCACACUGGGACUGAGACACGGCCCAGACUCCUACGGGAGGCAGCAGUGGGGAAUAUUGCGCAAUGGGCGAAAGCCUGACGCAGCGACGCCGCGUGGGGGAUGACGGCCUUCGGGCUGUAAACCUCUUUCAGCAGGGACGAAGCGAAAGUGACGGUACCUGCAGAAGAAGCACCGGCCAACUACGUG
This 465-nucleotide ribosomal RNA is filed under the name uncultured bacterium. Its description in RNAcentral is "partial 16S ribosomal RNA". It matches the Rfam family "Bacterial small subunit ribosomal RNA", at positions 28 to 507 of the family's 1533-position model. The record is from RNAcentral.